AGAUUCUGUUUGUACCAGGUCCGUCCAAUGAGGUAGUAAAUCUACAGCAGCCUGGGGGUCACAUCCUGGGGGCAGGAUCUUGUGAUGGGGUUGGAGUUUUCUUCUCUGGCAGUGUGGGACUUUUUUCCAUCAGUGCUCCACAGAAACAGGAAGU
Molecule: long non-coding RNA, 154 nt
Organism: Saccostrea cuccullata (small rock oyster)
Lineage: Eukaryota; Metazoa; Mollusca; Bivalvia; Ostreida; Ostreidae
Exons: 3
Source: RefSeq, a predicted model, not a curated record